This 424-nucleotide transfer-messenger RNA is filed under the name Alphaproteobacteria bacterium. It matches the Rfam family "Alphaproteobacteria transfer-messenger RNA". Rfam says of the family: Bacterial tmRNA, also known as 10Sa RNA or SsrA, is named for its dual tRNA and mRNA-like properties. Its role is to liberate the mRNA from a stalled ribosome. To accomplish this part of the tmRNA is used as a reading frame that ends in a translation stop signal. Lineage: Bacteria; Pseudomonadati; Pseudomonadota; Alphaproteobacteria. The record is from RNAcentral.
AUCCUUUACAAACCGGGUGGUUUGGCAUAGAAUGAAGAUGCCGGGCUUGUUCCGGCUAUGACGUUACACGCGGUUGCGGAAUAAGCGUUCGUGGACCCGGGGGCAGUACCCGGCGGCUCCACCAGUAUUCGCAAGGGAAGCAUUGUCCUUGCUAUCUGUGAAUGCCGGCGGGGCCGAAACAGGAUCGACACGCGUAGUAAAGGCGACAGGCGGCGUUCGGUAUAGUAUCCGCCGUUACCGGGCUAUUUUGAUAGUUGCAAACGACAACUCUCAGUUCGUAGCAGCCAACGACAACUCUGUUGUUGAAGGUGAAGGUCGCAUUGCUGCCUAAUUGGGCGCUAGCGACAGCUACACUUUAAUUCCCGCCCCGUAACACGGGCAGGUGGGGCUUGGGCGGCAGCCUCGCAACAGAAUGCCGCCCGCU